UAAUACAUGCAAGUCGAACGCACCCUUCGGGGUGAGUGGCGCACGGCUGAGUAACACGUGGGAAUCUGUCUUCUAGUGGGGGAUAACGUCUCGAAAGAGACGCUAAUCCCGCAUACGCUCGGUAACGAGGAAAGGCGCAAGUCGCUAGAAGAGGAGCCUGCGGCCCAUCAGGUAGUUGGAGAGGUAAUGGCUCACCAAGCCUAUGACGGGUAGCUGGUCUGUGAGGACAACCAGCCAGACUGGGACUGAGAACGGCCCAGACUCC
This 265-nucleotide ribosomal RNA is filed under the name uncultured bacterium. Its description in RNAcentral is "partial 16S ribosomal RNA". It matches the Rfam family "Bacterial small subunit ribosomal RNA", at positions 49 to 339 of the family's 1533-position model. The record is from RNAcentral.